Long non-coding RNA from Gasterosteus aculeatus aculeatus (three-spined stickleback), 289 nucleotides. The record is from Ensembl. NCBI's taxonomy places the organism in Eukaryota, Metazoa, Chordata, Actinopteri, Perciformes, Gasterosteidae.
GUGCUGUAAUGGGGUUGUAUUUGUACUGGAGUCCCUCUGUGUCCAGACAUUCACUGUUUGAAUAGCAGCUGCAGCUUAAUGUGGCCAAGACCCUGCGAGCAGAUUGAAUAUUAUUGAUCAGCUCUUUGGGACGUACAGUCGGUCCUACAGGGCUACGGAAGCCUCAAGAAGUGUGUGUGUGUGUGUGUGUGUGUGUGUGUGUGUGUGUGUGUGUGUGUGUGUGUGUGUGCGUGCGUGCGUGCGUGCGUGCGUGCGUGCGUGCGUGCGUGCGUGCGUGCGUGCGUGCGUG